AUGAGCAGUUUGAUUGCUUUUCAAAGAAACCUGUUGGAGAAAAUUGAUAAAGAAAUUACAAGGAAUCCAUCAGAUGAAGAAGAAGAUGUUCAAUCAGAUCAGGGACGGGAGGAGAAACAAAAGUCGUCAUGGGGCUCAUCAUCGGAGGGCAGCGACGCUGACCUGCCCGAUGAGAGUGAAGGAAAGGCGGAACUAAAGACUGAAGCAGCAGAAGUCCAGCCACAGAUACUGUCACUGCUUUCUACCCCCCCAGUGGAUCCAACUAAAGACCAGCUGAGCCAUUCUUCUCCUCACUCUACAAACAGACCCGGUGUAGACGGUCCAGAUGAUUCAGAGUGGGAUUCUUCUGAAAAUAAUGUCGGUUCUGUUGGAAAACCUCAAGUAGCGUCACAGGAUUCAAAUGUUGUGACGUCCAAACAAACCAAAGAACGCUCUUCAGCAGAUGAUGAAAGCCUUGAGAAAGAGCCAGAUGACCCCUCUCCUGUGGUGUCAGAGGCACCUGAGGAUGAUGAGACCACCAGAAACCAAGUCUUAGAUGACGACGAUGCAGAAAUGGAAGAAAAAUCCCACUCUGGGGGUGAAAAAGAAGACAGCUGGGAUGAUGAAGAAGAGGAAUCCCUGUCCAACUUGAACAAAUUACCUUCAGGACAGGUUGAGCCCACAGGGGAAACAGAGGGAUAUGGGGCUGAAGGCUGUGAGGGGAACCAAGCGUUGGCCCCCUCAGUCUGUGUCAGAAAGGACGGCUCUGCGGCGGGUGUAAAGUCUCAGGAGUGGAGGGAGGACUCGGACAGCAAGCAUCACAUACUGCAGAACGACUUUGGCGGGGCCUCGAUCAAAGUGCUCUGUGACAGAGAAGAUCCUCCUCCUUCAACCGAUGGAUGCACAGACCUCCCCGCCAAGCUGACCGCUUUUAUCCCACUCAAAUUUAAAGGAGCAGAGCUGUCAGCGGAUGAAAGGGAAACAGGAAGACACUGGUUUUCAAGUCCUCCCUCCAAUGAUGUCGACACCAACGGUUCAGAGAACGAUGAGGCGUUACCUCAAACUGACAUCGAUGACGUUGAUUUGGACUCACCUGGUGAGGCUGAUAUUUCAGAAGCCCACCAAGUCAGAAAUAUUAACGAAACUGGCAUUCAGGUAAACCGGUAUCACCUCCUGUUGUAA
RNAcentral lists this long non-coding RNA (1161 nucleotides) under Oryzias sinensis (Chinese medaka). RNAcentral's name for it is "lncRNA (ENSOSIG00000006954.1)". The record is from RNAcentral. Lineage: Eukaryota; Metazoa; Chordata; Actinopteri; Beloniformes; Adrianichthyidae.